GACGAACGCUGGCGGCGUGCUUAACACAUGCAAGUCGAACGGAAAGGCCCUGCUUUUGUGGGGUGCUCGAGUGGCGAACGGGUGAGUAACACGUGAGUAACCUGCCCUUGACUUUGGGAUAACUUCAGGAAACUGGGGCUAAUACCGGAUAGGAGCUCCUGCUGCAUGGUGGGGGUUGGAAAGUUUCGGCGGGUGGGGAUGGACUCGCGGCUUAUCAGCUUGUUGGUGGGGUAGUGGCUUACCAAGGCUUUGACGGGUAGCCGGCCUGAGAGGGUGACCGGCCACAUUGGGACUGAGAUGCGACCCAGAGUGCUACGGGAGGCAGGGGUGGAAAAUGUUGCGCAAUGGGCGGAGGCCUGAUGCAGCGGCGCCGGGUGCGGGAUGACGGCCUUCGGGUUGUAAACCGCUUUCGCCUGUGACGAAGCGUGAGUGACGGUAAUGGGUAAAGAAGCACCGGCUAACUACGUG
Molecule: ribosomal RNA, 468 nt
Filed under: uncultured bacterium
Lineage: Bacteria
Description: partial 16S ribosomal RNA
Rfam family: Bacterial small subunit ribosomal RNA
Source: RNAcentral